GCACGCGUCCCGUGAGUCGCGGAGGUAGGAGCAAGACGGGGUAGUCUUCAACUACUGGUCCUAACAGCGUGCAGCAUACACAUGCAUUCAAGCGAAUUGGAGGAAGGCGACUCUCAAGUCCUCCGCGACAUAUAAAAGCUAUGUUUGAACGAUCUACAGUAAAUCUUGAACAAAGAUGGACAGAAUGACACUAUUCUUAAGACCUUCGUGACUAGGAGCAAUCAGAAUGUAUACUCUUCAUUUCAAUCACUUGAAUGUCGAAGGAGGCAACCCUGUGCCUUAUUUAGAAGGUGUACUGUUACCAACUUAUUCCAUUGUUGAUGAGCUCAUCCAAAAUUAUUCAGAAGGUGUUAUGCAUAAAACGCACGAGUCCACACCACGACGACGACACAACAUUGUUCAGCUUACUUCAGGUUCCGGCGGUGGUGCAACCCCAGAGGAGGCCGUCGGCAUGGCACCCAGCCUCUUGUGGAGAAGCUCGACGGCCACCGCGUGAUGCGCAGCGAUCCGGUUUAUCAUGGCGCUGUUCGUGCUGGCCGCCGCCGG
Setaria italica (foxtail millet) is the source of this 546-nucleotide long non-coding RNA. RefSeq lists it as uncharacterized. The record is from RefSeq and is a predicted model, not a curated record. NCBI's taxonomy places the organism in Eukaryota, Viridiplantae, Streptophyta, Magnoliopsida, Poales, Poaceae. The transcript is spliced from 3 exons.